This 207-nucleotide unclassified non-coding RNA is filed under the name Hevea brasiliensis (rubber tree). Lineage: Eukaryota; Viridiplantae; Streptophyta; Magnoliopsida; Malpighiales; Euphorbiaceae. The record is from RNAcentral.
CAGGGGGACAUAUUCUCAGUGAGUUCACCAUUAGAGUAAAUGCAAAAUGGCAGCCAAUCUUCUCCUCCAUUCAUUCUUCUUUUCCUCUCUCUUGGAUACGCUAAUGGCGCCUGCACAUACCUGAUACCAUCAAGCAGGAUAUCCCAGCAGAAAUGGGUGUGACCAAAAAUAUGACAAGCGUUUGUGCUCCCUCUAUCUCCAUGUAUG